Molecule: long non-coding RNA, 650 nt
Filed under: Marmota monax (woodchuck)
Lineage: Eukaryota; Metazoa; Chordata; Mammalia; Rodentia; Sciuridae
Source: RNAcentral
CUGGCCCUAAACUUUUGCCUCUGUAACUCUAAAUACAAGGCCUCUGUUAAGGCUGCUAGCCUUUUCCUUUGCAGGCUCUGUUGCAGUGCACCAUGGCUGACACAGAAGUCAGUAGGAAUUGUUCUCUCUCACUCCUGCCCUUCCCCCAUCUUCCAACGUUUUCAUACAUAAAUUAUGUUCAGCUCAGUCAUUCUGUUUCUGUUUCCAUGACAAUUAUUCUAAUAUAUAAAGUUCCAUAGUUUCCACUUCCAGUAUGCCAUUUCGUUCCUGGUAUAGCAUUCCUUGGAGUUAAUAAUCUCCUUUGAUUUUCUUUUGAUAAUUUUCUGUGGAGCACUUAUUAAUUUAACUUGGGUUAUAUUGCUAUUUGUAAGAUUCAAGAAGUUCUGACUUUGUUGAUUUUAAUUUAUUUUAUUUUUACUUUUUAUUUCUUCAAAAUAAAUAUAUGUUCUGGGCCCUUCUGACAUACUUGCGUCUCGACUGGGCUUCUGUAUCUGAGGCAGAACCACCAUCCCAGCUACUUGGGAGGCUGGAGCAGGAAGAUCACAAUUUUGAGGCCAGGCUGGGAAAUUUUGUGCAAUUCUGUCUCAAAAACUGGAGUGAUGUGGGCUGGGGAUACAAUCAGUAAGAACAUCCUAGGGUGCCGUCGGCAG